This 579-nucleotide non-coding RNA is filed under the name Oryza barthii. The record is from RNAcentral. Lineage: Eukaryota; Viridiplantae; Streptophyta; Magnoliopsida; Poales; Poaceae.
GCUACCAUGUAAACAUGGAAAUCAUGCAACCAUCAGAAUAAAAGAACCUAUCAGAAGCACAUAUCAAAUCAUGCAACCAUCAGAAUAAAAGAUUUUUACAGUUCCAUCACCAUAGUCAUGUCAUUAAAAAGAGACAUAUCCUACAUAAACAUAUAUAUCAAGCCUAAACAAGUAGUAAACAUGUUUACACCCCAUGAGCAGCCAAGAAGCAAGAAGCAAUAGCCAGUACUACUGCCUCAAGCCCUUGAACACAAAAAGGCGAGAACUGGAUGCAGAGGUUUAUCGAUCGAUUCCCGCGUUGUCGUUGGCUGCAACAAGGACCAAAAAGAAGAAAAAAAAAGAACACCCUCUCAAAGAAAUUCGCCGCUCCUGGAUCAGCGCCACAAGGCAGGGAAGGGAUCGAUAAACCACUGCGCCCAGGCAUCACCACCAACCCCCCACCCCCACCUGCGAACAUGAUGGAUUAGCGCAAGAAACCGGAACAAAACAAGAACGGAACACAGAGCCACCUGCAAGAUCGGGCACGAACGAACACUCGUGGGUGUGAAUCUGUGUUUCUCGUGUGUGCAAUGAGGAAGG